AAGAGGGAAGAAGAGAUGAGGCCUAUGAAGAGGUACACAAAGGUCUCUAAUUCUUAAUAGUAUCAGGUGGUCAGAACGAUGGUGGAGGGGUGCGCUUCAAGGACCAUGUUUGGAUGUGGGACACCAGCAGUGCGGUGGGUGUGCUUGUCCUGCAGCCAAGAAAAUGGCCAACAGUGGACAAAGACAAUGACAGAGGAAGUAGAAAUUGGCAGCUGCAGAGAAUUUCAGUAGCCAAUUGAGGUUCAUAUCUUAUUAUUGCCAGCCAGAGCAGGAUCCAGGCCCCUCCCAUGCAACAUGCUCCCAGAUUGCCUCUGGAACUAUCUCCCCACAAUGGCCAGCCCAGGUGGAUGGAAUCUGAAGAGAGGAAGGGGGUGAAGCAGACGCCAGCCCCCUCACCAGACUCUUUGCAGAUUUGCAGUUUUCCAGGAAAUGUAAGAAGACCCAGAGAAGGGGGAAGAGACAAAGCUAGGGGAAGAAAAUCCUAGGACCACCAUCCCCUCCUACUAUCCACUGCCUCUGCAGCCCUUGCACAACUUACCCACUGUGUGGGUACCAGGCAUUGCUGGCACUAUGAGACACCGUGUAAAGAAAUGCUGUCGUACAUGGUAGUAGAGAGGGAGAUUAACUAGGGUCCUUUGUAGUAAGUUCAAGUUGUCAGUGAUUUCAAGAUUUUUUUUUAACUUACCUCCUUACAUUAUAGAUGGAUAACUCAGACUCAGAAGAACCAAGUGACUUAGCCAAAGUCUCUCAGUUAGCUAGAGGUCGAAUAAUAAUUUAGAUUCCCAAACCAUGUUCUUUUACACUGUAGUUUAGGACAGGUCUAAUAACUUGAAUUUGAGUUCUUCAUCUCUAUGUAUCUCAGCAAAAUGGAGAUGUAUGAUAGAUGAGAUGAGAUGAGAUGAGAUGAGAUGAGAUGAGAUAGAUUAUUCACCUCAAGCAUACAUAAUAGAAAGGCCCCCAUUCAGAAGCUGAUGUGGUGUAGGAGUGCACAGAGGACUGAGAAAUAGUUCCAGUCCCUCCUGGCUAGUUCUAGAUGAUAGAACGGGGGCAAGCCAUACAACCUCUCUAAGCUUCAUUUUCCUCAUCAGCAAAUUGGGUGUGAAGACACACACAACUACCUCAUUAGGGUAUUACACUGCUAAAAUGAAUCAAAGUAUAGAACAAUGUGGAAAAUAUGUCAUGUUUGCAGAAAUUAGGAAAAAGAAGGGGUGAGCAAACUAUUUGGAGAGCCAGAAAGCAAAUAUUUUAGGUUUUUAGGCCAAAAACAGCCUCUAUUACAACUACUCAACCCUGUUAUUGGAGCACAAAAGCAGCAAUGGACAAUAUCUAAAUGAAUGCAGGUGGCUGUGGUUCACUAACACUUUAUUUACAAAAUAGGCAGAGGGGCAAAUUUAGCCUGCGGGCCAUCAGUUGCCAAUCCCUGGGACAGUCUUCCCACUUUGUUAAGUGCAUCCUCACUGAAAAAGCUUCCCUACUCUUCCUCAAUCACAUCCUCUCCCUAACUCAGGGCUUGAUGACUCAGCCCCAGCCUUAUUUUUGGAGCACCAGCUUUUUAAGGCAAAACAUAGCUCACUUGAGGGGUUUAAGACACAUAGUCAUCUGCACCAGGGAGAUAAAAAAGCUAAAAGCACAUUUAUAACCACAGUCACAGCCAUCCUUCUUUAUGAAUAUGUUUAUGUCUGCAUUUAGACACACAGCCACAUACAUAAAGUGAUAUACAAAAAGGAAUGUAGCUGUGGAUGGAAAAAUAGAUCAGUGAAUUUCAUUGAAGCUAUAAUAUUGGACUAGAUAUAAGCAUAAACAACAACACUUGAUAUUUAUAUCUCAGUUCUAACUUUUUAAAGCACAUUCUCAUUUACUUUCACUCAUCACUAUGAGAUUAUGAGGGCGUUUGACAGAUUGGAGAGGAAACAGAUACUUAGCUAGAGUCACAAUCUGACUGGUUGCAGAUCAUGGGGUCAAACACACUCAGAGGCUCUGUCUUGCAAACUCAACAGAAUACUUUUCCUCUCACGCUGAGGCCUGGUUGGGCACAGAGCAUCAAUUUAGGCAUGGUCCUGCUUUACCAGAGUAUCAUGGAGACAAUCUUCUUUGAGGAAGUUACCUCUUCUCCUCUUGCUUAAAAUUGUAUCUGCUAACUCAAAAUGAAACUAUUUUAAAAGCUAUGGGAUGGGUGGGUGAACACAUAAAUCAAUCCUCAAAAGGAACUGGGGAUUGGAUCAGGCUGGAUUGAUUGUUUCUUGGACCAUAGACAGACUAAUCAUCUGUGGGUAAGCUGGAAUUAAGAAUGUUCCUCAGGCUGAGAGCAUGAAGUAAGAUAUGACUGUCAUUUCCAUUGAAUCUAUGGUGGGGGACCCCAACUCUGAAACAGAAGAGGUGGACAUCUAUAGUUGGUUUCAGGGGAAGCAUAGGGAACACAGGGUAGCUACUGGCUUCAUCUUAGAACAAUGAAGAAGCUUCACAGUGGGGUGAAACAACUAAAUCAUGUAGCUGAUUGAUAUGUUUCGGAUGACUACACAGGACACCAACGUGGAGACCACAUUUCUAUGGCUGGACCUGAACUAAGUUGCCUGAAAUUCAAGUGCAGGAUAGUUUUGAACCCAGAAGAAGAGCAAAGGGCCGUGUAUAAAAGUGCCUCCUUAUCCAAGGGAGCCUGAUGUUGAGGGACCAUCUUGAGGAUCACACAUAUAAGAGAAGAAAAGUUCUAAAAAGAAACAAAAAAUUCCCUUUGAACUAUUAACAUAACAUCCAUGUCUAUAAUAAACAAUAUUCUUAUUUUUUUGAAAAUUUUUAAAUGUUUAUUUAUUUUUGAGACAGAGACAGAGCAUGAGCAGGGGAGGGGCAAAGGGAGACACAGAAUCUGAA
This is a long non-coding RNA of Neofelis nebulosa (Clouded leopard), 2865 nucleotides long. RefSeq lists it as uncharacterized. The transcript is spliced from 3 exons. Lineage: Eukaryota; Metazoa; Chordata; Mammalia; Carnivora; Felidae. The record is from RefSeq and is a predicted model, not a curated record.